GAAAAGAUAAAAAUAAAAUAAAUUAUGUCUUGAACACAUAAAUAACAGGUUAAAGUCCUGUUCUUUUCG
RNAcentral lists this transfer RNA (69 nucleotides) under Lophophysema eversa. RNAcentral's name for it is "tRNA-Ser". It matches the Rfam family "tRNA". From Rfam's summary of the family: Transfer RNA (tRNA) molecules are approximately 80 nucleotides in length. Their secondary structure includes four short double-helical elements and three loops (D, anti-codon, and T loops). Lineage: Eukaryota; Metazoa; Porifera; Hexactinellida; Amphidiscosida; Hyalonematidae. The record is from RNAcentral.